CCUACGGGUGGCAGCAGUGGGGAAUAUUGGACAAUGGGCGAAAGCCUGAUCCAGCCAUGCCGCGUGUGUGAAGAAGGCCUUCGGGUUGUAAAGCACUUUCAGUGGGGAAGAAAGCCUUGGGGCUAAUACCCUCGAGGAAGGACAUCACCCACAGAAGAAGCACCGGCUAACUCCGUGCCAGCAGCCGCGGUAAUACGGAGGGUGCGAGCGUUAAUCGGAAUUACUGGGCGUAAAGCGCGCGUAGGUGGUCUGAUAAGCCGGUUGUGAAAGCCCCGGGCUCAACCUGGGAACGGCAUCCGGAACUGUCAGGCUAGAGUGCAGGAGAGGAAGGUAGAAUUCCCGGUGUAGCGGUGAAAUGCGUAGAGAUCGGGAGGAAUACCAGUGGCGAAGGCGGCCUUCUGGACUGACACUGACGCUGAGGUGCGAAAGCGUGGGUAGCAAACAGGAUUAGAUACCCUGGUAGU
RNAcentral lists this ribosomal RNA (464 nucleotides) under Vreelandella stevensii. RNAcentral's name for it is "partial 16S ribosomal RNA". It matches the Rfam family "Bacterial small subunit ribosomal RNA", at positions 338 to 794 of the family's 1533-position model. The record is from RNAcentral. Lineage: Bacteria; Pseudomonadati; Pseudomonadota; Gammaproteobacteria; Oceanospirillales; Halomonadaceae.